ACUCCUACGGGAGGCAGCAGUGGGGAAUAUUGCACAAUGGGCGCAAGCCUGAUGCAGCCAUGCCGCGUGUAUGAAGAAGGCCUUCGGGUUGUAAAGUACUUUCAGCAGUGAGGAAGGUGGAUAUGUUAAUAGCAUAUUCAUUUGACGUUAGCUGCAGAAGAAGCACCGGCUAACUCCGUGCCAGCAGCCGCGGUAAUACGGAGGGUGCGAGCGUUAAUCGGAAUUACUGGGCGUAAAGCGCAUGCAGGUGGUUUGUUAAGUCAGAUGUGAAAGCCCGGGGCUCAACCUCGGAAUUGCAUUUGAAACGUGGCAAACUAGAGUACUGGUAGAGGGGGGUAGAAUUUCAGGUGUAGCGGUGAAAUGCGUAGAGAUCUGAAGGAAUAACCGGUGGCGAAGGCGGCCCCCCUGGACAGAUACUGACACUCAGAUGCGAAAGCGUGGGGAGCAAACAGGAUUAGAUACCCUGGUAGGCUACUG
RNAcentral lists this ribosomal RNA (477 nucleotides) under uncultured bacterium. RNAcentral's name for it is "bacterial SSU rRNA". It matches the Rfam family "Bacterial small subunit ribosomal RNA", at positions 335 to 799 of the family's 1533-position model. The record is from RNAcentral.